UCCUUGGUGGUCCAGUGGCUAAGACUCUGUGCUCCCAAUGCAGGAGGCCCAGGUUCAAUCCCUGGUCAUGGAA
This 73-nucleotide transfer RNA is filed under the name Bos taurus (domestic cattle). It matches the Rfam family "tRNA". Rfam says of the family: Transfer RNA (tRNA) molecules are approximately 80 nucleotides in length. Their secondary structure includes four short double-helical elements and three loops (D, anti-codon, and T loops). RNAcentral also lists the same sequence under 3 other names. The record is from Rfam by way of RNAcentral. Lineage: Eukaryota; Metazoa; Chordata; Mammalia; Artiodactyla; Bovidae.